Molecule: ribosomal RNA, 406 nt
Filed under: uncultured Flavobacteriales bacterium
Lineage: Bacteria; Pseudomonadati; Bacteroidota; Flavobacteriia; Flavobacteriales
Description: bacterial SSU rRNA
Rfam family: Bacterial small subunit ribosomal RNA
Source: RNAcentral
ACAUGCAAGUCGAGGGGUAGAGUCUUCGGAAUUUGAGACCGGCGCACGGGUGCGUAACGCGUAUGCAAUCUGCCUUCCACAGAGGGAUAGCCCAGAGAAAUUUGGAUUAAUACCUCAUAGCAUUACAGGAUGGCAUCAUCCGGUAAUUAAAGUCACAACGGUGGAAGAUGAGCAUGCGUCCCAUUAGCUAGUUGGUAAGGUAACGGCUUACCAAGGCGACGAUGGGUAGGGGUCCUGAGAGGGAGAUCCCCCACACUGGUACUGAGACACGGACCAGACUCCUACGGGAGGCAGCAGUGAGGAAUAUUGGUCAAUGGGCGCAAGCCUGAACCAGCCAUGCCGCGUGCAGGAUGACGGUCCUAUGGAUUGUAAACUGCUUUUGUACGGGAAGAAACACUGAUUCGUG